Molecule: unclassified non-coding RNA, 352 nt
Filed under: soil metagenome
Description: partial contains 5.8S ribosomal RNA, internal transcribed spacer 2, and large subunit ribosomal RNA
Rfam family: 5.8S ribosomal RNA (bases 1-120)
Source: RNAcentral
GAUGAAGAACGUAGCGAAAUGCGAUAAGUAAUGUGAAUUGCAGAAUUCAGUGAAUCAUCGAAUCUUUGAACGCACAUUGCGCCCGCCAGUAUUCUGGCGGGCAUGCCUGUUCGAGCGUCAUUACAACCCUCAAGCCCCCGGGCCUGGCGUUGGGGAUCGGCGGAGCCCCCCGUGGGCACACGCCGUCCCCCAAAUACAGUGGCGGUCCCGCCGCAGCUUCCAUCGCGUAGUAGCUAACACCUCGCGACUGGAGAGCGGCGCGGCCACGCCGUAAAACACCCAACUCUUCUGAAGUUGACCUCGAAUCAGGUAGGAAUACCCGCUGAACUUAAGCAUAUCAAUAAGCGGAGGA